AGCUGAGUUGAUCCUGGCUCAGAGCGAACGCUGGCGGCAGGCCUAACACAUGCAAGUCGAACGAACUCUUCGGAGUUAGUGGCGGACGGGUGAGUAACACGUGGGAACGUGCCUUUAGGUUCGGAAUAACUCAGGGAAACUUGUGCUAAUACCGAAUGUGCCCUUCGGGGGAAAGAUUUAUCGCCUUUAGAGCGGCCCGCGUCCGAUUAGCUAGUUGGUGAGGUAACGGCUCACCAAGGCGAUGAUCGGUAGCUGGUCUGAGAGGACGAUCAGCCACACGGGAACUGAGACACGGUCCCGACUCCUACGGGAGGCAGCAGUAGGGGAAUAUUGGGCAAUGGAGGAAACUCUGACCCAGCGACG
Molecule: ribosomal RNA, 363 nt
Filed under: uncultured Brevundimonas sp.
Lineage: Bacteria; Pseudomonadati; Pseudomonadota; Alphaproteobacteria; Caulobacterales; Caulobacteraceae
Description: bacterial SSU rRNA
Rfam family: Bacterial small subunit ribosomal RNA
Source: RNAcentral